GACAGAGGGUGCAAACGUUGUUCGGAAUUACUGGGCGUAAAGCGCGUGUAGGCGGCUUGGCAAGUCGGGUGUGAAAGCCCUGGGCUUAACCUAGGAAGUGCACUCGAAACUGCCUGGCUUGAGUUCUGGAGAGGAAGGCGGAAUUCUCGGUGUAGAGGUGAAAUUCGUAGAUAUCGAGAGGAACACCGGUGGCGAAGGCGGCCUUCUGGACAGCAACUGACGCUGAGACGCGAAAGCGUGGGGAGCAAACAGG
Molecule: ribosomal RNA, 253 nt
Filed under: uncultured bacterium
Lineage: Bacteria
Description: partial 16S ribosomal RNA
Rfam family: Bacterial small subunit ribosomal RNA
Source: RNAcentral